AUACGGAGGGUGCAAGCGUUACUCGGAAUCACUGGGCGUAAAGGACGCGUAGGCGGGUUGGAAAGUCUGAUGUGAAAUCCUACAGCUUAACUGUAGAACUGCAUUGGAAACUUCCAACCUAGAGUAUGGGAGGGGGAGAUGGAAUUAGUGGUGUAGGGGUAAAAUCCGUAGAUAUCACUAGGAAUACCCAAAGCGAAGGCGAUCUCCUGGAACAUUACUGACGCUAAGGCGUGAAAGCGUGGGGAGCAAACGGGAUUAGAUACCCUAAGUAGUCC
Molecule: ribosomal RNA, 275 nt
Filed under: uncultured bacterium
Lineage: Bacteria
Description: partial 16S ribosomal RNA
Rfam family: Bacterial small subunit ribosomal RNA
Source: RNAcentral